GAUGAACGCUGGCGGCGUGCUUAACACAUGCAAGUCGAACGGAAAGGCUCCUGCUGGCAGGGGUACUCGAGUGGCGAACGGGUGAGUAACACGUGGGUGACCUGCCCUGCACUUCGGGAUAAGCCUGGGAAACUGGGUCUAAUACCGUAUAGGACGAUGGUUUGGAUGCCAUUGUGGAAAGCUUUUUCGGUUUGGGAUAAGCUCGCGGCCUAUCAGCUUUUGGGUGGGGUAGUGGCCUACCCAGGCGUCGGCGGGGAGCCGGCCUGAGAGGGUGUACGGCGACCAUGCGCCUGCGAUACGGCCCAGUCUCGUACGGGAGGCAGUAGUGGGAAGUCUUGCACAAUGAGCGCAAGCCUGUUACAGAGACGUCGGGUGGGGGAUGCCCGUCUGCGGGUUGAGAACUGCAUCAGCUUAAGACCCCGCGCAAGUGACGGUACCUAAAGAAGAAGCACCGGCUAACUACGUG
RNAcentral lists this ribosomal RNA (466 nucleotides) under uncultured bacterium. RNAcentral's name for it is "partial 16S ribosomal RNA". It matches the Rfam family "Bacterial small subunit ribosomal RNA", at positions 28 to 507 of the family's 1533-position model. The record is from RNAcentral.